Molecule: ribosomal RNA, 435 nt
Filed under: uncultured bacterium
Lineage: Bacteria
Description: partial 16S ribosomal RNA
Rfam family: Bacterial small subunit ribosomal RNA
Source: RNAcentral
GAUGAACGCUGGCGGUAUGCUUAACACAUGCCAGUCGAACGGACUCUUCGGAGUUAGUGGCGGACGGGUGAGUAACGCGUGAGAAUCUGGCUUUGGGUUCGGGACAACCACUGGAAACGGUGGCUAAUACCGGAUGUGCCGAGAGGUAAAAGAGAAAUUGCCUGAAGAUGAGCUCGCGUCUGAUUAGCUAGUUGGUGAGGUAAAGGCUCACCAAGGCAGCGAUCAGUAGCUGGUCUGAGAGGAUGACCAGCCACACUGGGACUGAGACACGGCCCAGACUCCUGCGGGGGGGAAGAGGGGGGGAUUUUCCGCAAUGGGGGAAAGCCUUGCGGAGCAAUACCGCGGGGGGGAAGGGGGCUCUUGGGGUGUAAACCUCUUUUCUUUGGGGAAGACAAAAUGACGGUAACUAAGGAAUCAGCAUCGGCUAACUCCGUG